RNAcentral lists this ribosomal RNA (401 nucleotides) under uncultured bacterium. RNAcentral's name for it is "bacterial SSU rRNA". It matches the Rfam family "Bacterial small subunit ribosomal RNA", at positions 107 to 507 of the family's 1533-position model. The record is from RNAcentral.
UGCGUAACGCGUAAGUAACUUGCCCCAAGGUAAGGAAUAACGUCGAGAAAUCGGCGCUAAUACCUCAUAAUGCAGCGGAUCCGCAUGGAUAUGUUGUUAAAGGUUUACCGCCUUGGGAUAGGCUUGCGUCUGAUUAGCUAGUUGGUGUGGUAAUGGCACACCAAGGCUACGAUCAGUAACUGGUCUGAGAGGAUGAUCAGUCACACUGGAACUGAGACACGGUCCAGACUCCUACGGGAGGCAGCAGUGAGGAAUAUUGGGCAAUGCACGAAAGUGUGACCCAGCAACGCCGCGUGGAGGAUGAAGGUAUUCUAUAUCGUAAACUCCUGUGAGAGCAGACGAAAGACAGAUUAUUAAUUUGGAUGACUGUAUGCUCAGAGGAAGCCCCGGCUAACUACGUG